GUGUCAGCAGCCGCGGUAAUACGAAGGGUGCUAGCGUUGUUCGGAAUUACUGGGCGUAAAGGGCGCGUAGGCGGCUUGGCAAGUUGGAUGUGAAAGCCCAGGGCUCAACCCUGGAAUUGCAUUCAAGACUGCCUUGCUUGAAUUCGGUAGAGGUUGGUGGAAUUCCCAGUGUAGAGGUGAAAUUCGUAGAGAUUGGGAAGAACACCCGUGGCGAAGGCGGCCAACUGGACCGACAUUGACGCUGAGGCGCGAAAGCGUGGGGAUCAAACAGGAUUAGAUACCCUGGUAGUCC
RNAcentral lists this ribosomal RNA (292 nucleotides) under uncultured bacterium. RNAcentral describes it as "partial 16S ribosomal RNA". It matches the Rfam family "Bacterial small subunit ribosomal RNA", at positions 505 to 796 of the family's 1533-position model. The record is from RNAcentral.